GAUGAACGCUGGCGGCGUGCCUAAUACAUGCAAGUCGAACGAAACUUCUUUAUUACCGAGUGCUUGCACUCACCGAUAAAGAGUUGAGUGGCGAACGGGCGAGUAACACGUGUGCAACAUGUCCAAAAGAGGGGGAUAACACCUGGAAACAGGUGCUAAUACCGCAUAACCAUAGUUACCGCAUGGUAACUAGGUAAAAGGUGGCUAUACUACCGCUUUUGGAUGGGCCCGCGGCGCAUUAGCUAGUUGGUAGGGUAAAGGCUUACCAAGGCAAUGAGGCGUAGCCGAAUUGAGAGGUUGAUCGGCCACAUUGGGACUGAGACACGGCCCAAACUCCUACGGGAGGCAGCAGUAGGGAAUCUUCCACAAUGGGCGAAAGCCUGAUGGAGCAACGCCGCGUGGGUGAAGAAGGUCUUCGGAUCGUAAAACCCUGUUGUUAGAGAAGAAAGUGCGUGAGAGUAACUGUUCACGUUUCGACGGUAUCUAACCGGAAAGCCACGGCUAACUACGUG
Molecule: ribosomal RNA, 512 nt
Filed under: uncultured bacterium
Lineage: Bacteria
Description: partial 16S ribosomal RNA
Rfam family: Bacterial small subunit ribosomal RNA
Source: RNAcentral